This 1012-nucleotide long non-coding RNA is filed under the name Heterocephalus glaber (naked mole-rat). Its description in RNAcentral is "lncRNA (ENSHGLG00000033095.1)". The record is from RNAcentral. Lineage: Eukaryota; Metazoa; Chordata; Mammalia; Rodentia; Bathyergidae.
CCAACAAGCCAGCAGGGAGAACAGCCUCAGCAUGGUCAAAACACUGCCUGGCUCUUUCCAAAGCCACUUCCUCCAUGGAGCAAGAGGCCUCUAGUGACCUGGUGGUCACUUGCAGUCCCCUCUGGACCUGGAGCCAGAAGCUGUGGCAGAUGAACAAGGCCCUUUCAAGAGGGGCUGGCUGGACACUGUGUGUGGAGAGACAGUGAGCAGCUGUUGUGUGCAUGUACCCAGGGGGCCUUAGAUGCACCAAGGCAUACAAGUAUGGGGUCAGAGUUGUCCACUCUCAAGAUGAGGAGGAGAGCAUGAUUCAGAUAAUGCUGCAGGUGUUUAGUGAUGAGCUGUCAUUCUAAUCUUUAAACAGGAGAAAGGAAAUCCUACGAAUUAAAUGUGUUGUCAGAAGCUGGUUUAAAAAAAGAAAAGAUGGAAGCCAGGCACAGUGGCACAAGACUUAAUCCCAGCUAUUUGGGAGGCUGAAACAGGAAGACUGACUUCAAGUCCACCAUGGGGAACGUGAUGAGACACCUUUCUCAAAAAUAGAAAGACAAGGACUGGCAUAGUGUGGUGGAUUAUAAGGCUCUUCAGGAUCAAUUUUGGAACAAUAACAAAAAGUCAUGAUAAUAAAGCAGAAAGUAAAUGAUGAAUGACCUGAAAUAAGAGUCCCAUUUAUGUAUUUAUAUUCCAGAAGAAGAAACAACAUGAAGCAUUCACAAAGGUUGCAUCUAAUACUUUUCUUUUUAUAAAAUAUCUAUGAUCACUUUUCCCUGAUUGACUGUUAGAAAAAUACUAUUUUUUUUCAUGCAAUAUCAUUAAUCAAGUGGUAGGAGUUUGAAAUGUCCACACUGCACUCAGUUAUAUAGAAUACACUUUUUUUUUUUUCCUUUUAAAUUCUGGGGAACUCAGCUCAUCUGCUCAGAUGCUUCCGUUCCACUCAUUUUUGAGUGUAGGAAGUUAACUCCCUAUCAAACUGAUCUUUGCUCUGGCUCCAGGAGUUUCCAUUCUCUUUCUGUUUCUA